This 1007-nucleotide ribosomal RNA is filed under the name uncultured bacterium. RNAcentral describes it as "bacterial SSU rRNA". It matches the Rfam family "Bacterial small subunit ribosomal RNA", at positions 8 to 1064 of the family's 1533-position model. The record is from RNAcentral.
AGAGUUUGAUCCUGGCUCAGAACGAACGCUGGCGGCAGGCCUAACACAUGCAAGUCGAGCGCACCUUCGGGUGAGCGGCGGACGGGUUAGUAACGCGUGGGAACGUGCCCUUUUCUGCGGAAUAGCCACUGGAAACGGUGAGUAAUACCGCAUACGCCCUUCGGGGGAAAGAUUUAUCGGAGAAGGAUCGGCCCGCGUUAGAUUAGGUAGUUGGUGGGGUAAUGGCCUACCAAGCCUACGAUCUAUAGCUGGUUUGAGAGGAUGAUCAGCAACACUGGGACUGAGACACGGCCCAGACUCCUACGGGAGGCAGCAGUGGGGAAUCUUAGACAAUGGGGGCAACCCUGAUCUAGCCAUGCCGCGUGAGUGAUGAAGGCCUUAGGGUCGUAAAGCUCUUUCGCUGGGGAUGAUAAUGACAGUACCCAGUAAAGAAACCCCGGCUAACUCCGUGCCAGCAGCCGCGGUAAUACGGAGGGGGUUAGCGUUGUUCGGAAUUACUGGGCGUAAAGCGCACGUAGGCGGACUGGAAAGUUAGAGGUGAAAUCCCGGGGCUCAACCCCGGAACUGCCUUUAAAACUAUCAGUCUAGAGUUCGAGAGAGGUGAGUGGAAUUCCGAGUGUAGAGGUGAAAUUCGUAGAUAUUCGGAGGAACACCAGUGGCGAAGGCGGCUCACUGGCUCGAUACUGACGCUGAGGUGCGAAAGUGUGGGGAGCAAACAGGAUUAGAUACCCUGGUAGUCCACACCGUAAACGAUGAAUGCCAGUCGUCGGGUUGCUUGCAACUCGGUGACACACCUAACGCAUUAAGCGCACCGCCUGGGGAGUACGGUCGCAAGAUUAAAACUCAAAGGAAUUGACGGGGACCCGCACAAGCGGUGGAGCAUGCGGCUUAAUUCGAUGCAACGCGAAGAACCUUACCUGGGCUUGACAUAUAGCUGCAUACGACCCGAAAGGGACGUAGCCUUCGAGGGUGCUAUACAGGUGCUGCAUGGCUGUCGUCAGCUCGUG